RNAcentral lists this ribosomal RNA (253 nucleotides) under uncultured bacterium. RNAcentral's name for it is "partial 16S ribosomal RNA". It matches the Rfam family "Bacterial small subunit ribosomal RNA", at positions 524 to 776 of the family's 1533-position model. The record is from RNAcentral.
UACAGAGGUGGCAAGCGUUGUUCGGAAUUACUGGGCGUAAAGGGCGCGUAGGCGGCCUUCUAAGUCAGACGUGAAAUCCCCCGGCUUAACCUGGGAACUGCGUCUGAUAUUGGAUGGCUUGAGUAUGGGAGAGGGAUGUAGAAUUCCAGGUGUAGCGGUGAAAUGCGUAGAUAUCUGGAGGAAUACCGGUGGCGAAGGCGGCAUCCUGGACCAUUACUGACGCUGAGGCGCGAAAGCUAGGGGAGCAAACGGG